Molecule: long non-coding RNA, 1177 nt
Filed under: Callithrix jacchus (white-tufted-ear marmoset)
Lineage: Eukaryota; Metazoa; Chordata; Mammalia; Primates; Cebidae
Description: lncRNA (ENSCJAG00000082066.1)
Source: RNAcentral
AUGGGAGUGACUUGGAUCAUCAGGUCACUGCAGGGAAGACAGUGGUCCUGGAAAGCAGCUGAAAUCCCACAGGACUUUGGUGGGGAUGGCAGUGAUGAGCUGGAGGAAGAGCAGGCUUUAAUGGUGCCGCUAACGUUGCCUUUCCUUAAAAUGACUCGCAAUGCUCACAGACAUUCAGACCCCGGCGCUUAGAUCACGUCUCCGGCUUGGAACUCCCGCUGGUUUAGAAUCUCACUGCUGGGAAGCAUCACCUGUUCCUGGACCCGAAAGGCAGUGUGGUCAAGUGGUUACAGACUCAAGCCAGAGGUGAGACAGCCCUGGGUUCCAUUCCUACUUCUGUCACACUUACUGACUGGUGACCGUUGGCAAAUUUCAUCACCCCUCCGAGCCUCCGUUUACUCACCUGCAAAGUGUUUCCACUUUGUCAUUCAUUUAUUCCUUCACUGGAAAGUUAACAAGAGUUCACUGAAAACUUGCUAUGUGCUUUGAUCUCAGAAAGGUUCUGGCAUUCAUUGAGCUUCAAGUCUAGUGGGAGAACAGAGAUAAUAUAUCUGCGAACACAUAAAUAAGAGAGAUAAUUGUAGAUCGUGAUAUAGGCUGAGUAAGAUUUAAAACCAAGGUUGUCCUCUCUGAUGAGAAGCCAGUCUAGCUGGCCACAGAAAGAGGAGAAAGAGCCAGCCGCUUACAUAUCAGAAGGAAAGGCCCUCCAGGCAGGGGCAUGGCAAGAGCAAAGUCCUAGGCAGCUCUAAGAUUAGAAUCCUUGCAGCUGGCGCUUUAUAAAAGGAGGUACAAGGUAAGGCCAAAUGAGAAGGAGAGACCAGAUCAGAAGGGUUCUAUAGGAUAAGGCAGGAGUGUGCGUUAUAAUAAAACUAACCUUCCAGAGUUGUUGUAAGGAUUGAAGAGAAUAUCGAGUGGCAAACUCUAAAGCAGUUGCUUAAAAAAAAAAAGUCAGCUUUUACUUUCAACAAGAUAACUGUAGUAGAACUCAUCGUCUCUCAGGUGUAGUUGCUGACAUCAUAGAAUGAUUGAAUUUCAGAACUGAGAGAUCAUUUUUCCUAAUUAUUCUACUUUUUCAUAUGGGUGAAUUAAGGAUCAGAGAGGGCAAGGGACUUAUGGAUGUCACACAGGAGUUAGCGGGGGAUGCUCUGGGCUUUUUAAUUUCCACUCACUAUCCAUU